GUGGGGAAUAUUGGACAAUGGGAGCAAGCCUGAUCCAGCCAUGCCGCGUGAGUGAUGAAGGCCCUAGGGUUGUAAAGCUCUUUCACCGGAGAAGAUAAUGACGGUAUCCGGAGAAGAAGCCCCGGCUAACUUCGUGCCAGCAGCCGCGGUAAUACGAAGGGGGCUAGCGUUGUUCGGAAUUACUGGGCGUAAAGCGCACGUAGGCGGACAUUUAAGUCAGGGGUGAACUCCCGGGGCUCAACCCCGGAACUGCCUUUGAUACUGGGUGUCUGAAGUAUGGAAGAGGUAAGAGGAAUUCCGAGUGUAGAGGUGAAAUUCGUAGAUAUUCGGAAGAACACCAGUGGCGAAGGCGACUGACUGGACAAGUAUUGACGCUGAGGUGCGAAAGCGUGGGGAGCAAACAGGAUUAGAUACCCGGGUAGUCC
RNAcentral lists this ribosomal RNA (425 nucleotides) under uncultured bacterium. RNAcentral describes it as "bacterial SSU rRNA". It matches the Rfam family "Bacterial small subunit ribosomal RNA", at positions 354 to 796 of the family's 1533-position model. The record is from RNAcentral.